RNAcentral lists this unclassified non-coding RNA (343 nucleotides) under soil metagenome. RNAcentral's name for it is "partial contains 5.8S ribosomal RNA, internal transcribed spacer 2, and large subunit ribosomal RNA". The stretch from base 1 to 120 matches the Rfam family "5.8S ribosomal RNA", at positions 35 to 154 of the family's 154-position model. The record is from RNAcentral.
GAUGAAGAACGUAGCGAAAUGCGAUACGUAGUGUGAAUUGCAGAAUUCAGUGAAUCAUCGAAUCUUUGAACGCACAUUGCGCCCGCCAGCAUUCUGGCGGGCAUGCCUGUUCGAGCGUCAUUUCAACCCUCGAGCCCCCCCGGGGGCCUCGGUGUUGGGGGACGGCACACCAGCCGCCCCCGAAAUGCAGUGGCGACCCCGCCGCAGCCUCCCCUGCGUAGUAGCACACACCUCGCACCGGAGCGCGGAGGCGGUCACGCCGUAAAACGCCCAACUUUCUUAGAGUUGACCUCGGAUCAGGUAGGAAUACCCGCUGAACUUAAGCAUAUUAAUAAGCGGAGGA